AUUGAACGCUGGCGGCAUGCUUUACACAUGCAAGUCGAACGGUAACAGGCCUUCGGGUGCUGACGAGUGGCGAACGGGUGAGUAAUGCAUCGGAACGUACCCAGAGGUGGGGGAUAACGCAGCGAAAGCUGUGCUAGUACCGCAUGUGAUCUGAGGAUGAAAGCGGGGGACCGAGCAGCAAUGUUUGGCCUCGCGCCUUUGGAGCGGCCGAUGUCGGAUUAGCUAGUUGGUGGGGUAAAGGCCUACCAAGGCGACGAUCCGUAGCUGGUCUGAGAGGACGACCAGCCACACUGGGACUGAGACACGGCCCAGACUCCUACGGGAGGCAGCAGUGGGGAAUUUUGGACAAUGGGCGCAAGCCUGAUCCAGCAAUGCCGCGUGCGGGAAGAAGGCCUUCGGGUUGUAAACCGCUUUUGGCAGGAACGAAACGGUGUCCGCUAAUACCGGGCGCUAAUGACGGUACCUGCAGAAUAAGCACCGGCUAACUACGUG
Molecule: ribosomal RNA, 492 nt
Filed under: uncultured bacterium
Lineage: Bacteria
Description: partial 16S ribosomal RNA
Rfam family: Bacterial small subunit ribosomal RNA
Source: RNAcentral